Molecule: small nucleolar RNA, 110 nt
Filed under: Sorghum bicolor (sorghum)
Lineage: Eukaryota; Viridiplantae; Streptophyta; Magnoliopsida; Poales; Poaceae
Description: Plant small nucleolar RNA R71
Rfam family: Plant small nucleolar RNA R71
About the family: R71 is a member of the C/D box family of snoRNAs containing the C (UGAUGA) and D (CUGA) box motifs.
Source: Rfam by way of RNAcentral
CUUCCAUGAUGGGGACAUUCUAGGAUGUAGUCUUGGAAACGCUCCCAUGCUUCUGGAACACAUUCAUCAUGUUGUUGCCCACGAAGAGCAUUGGUCUUGCCCAUGGGAAA